Non-coding RNA from Caenorhabditis elegans, 203 nucleotides. The record is from Ensembl. NCBI's taxonomy places the organism in Eukaryota, Metazoa, Nematoda, Chromadorea, Rhabditida, Rhabditidae.
UGCUUCUCCUAACAUGAGAAAUGGCAUGAUUCAGAACGUUUUGUUGCACUACCUGCUGAAAACCGAGUCGCUUUUGUCAACAUCAUCACUCCAUCAUAACAUAAAAAACGGGGAAAACCCAUUACAUGUUAUGGGUAUGAAUGUCAAAUGAGACGGCUUUCUGACAGCCUUUUGAUGCACUUCGGUUCCGGAUACAGACACGA